Cordylochernes scorpioides is the source of this 71-nucleotide non-coding RNA. The record is from the annotation of a GenBank genome assembly. NCBI's taxonomy places the organism in Eukaryota, Metazoa, Arthropoda, Arachnida, Pseudoscorpiones, Chernetidae.
UCGCUCUCCGUGUUCACCACUUGCUUUUAUGUCCAAUGAUCAUAAGGCACGCGGUGAAUGCCAAGAGGGGA